CCUCGUCCUUUAGAAAGAGUAUCACAAGCAGUGAAAGGUCUUGGAUCAUCUCACAAGCCUGCAACAGCAAACAGGAUUCGAUCCAGGAUUGAUUGCUCCAACAGAAUACGUCAUUCCCAACAUUUAAUCAAAAAACAAAAAGGAAAAAGUCCACAAGAAAAACAGGAGGGCCGACACGAACAAAUGGGUCUAUUCACCCAAGUGAAGACUGCGUCUUGAACCACAAAAUUAAAACUCUGCAGUAAAAUCUUGAAGUCUCUCGAGCUUACCUUCCUCUCUCUAGACCCAGAACUCAAGUACAAAAUAUUCACCAACGAGUGAGCUUUCAACAAGUCGUGCUAAGAUCACAGGAACAAGUCACUCAUCCUGUCUAAAGGGUCGCUGCCUUU
RNAcentral lists this long non-coding RNA (389 nucleotides) under Eucalyptus grandis. Its description in RNAcentral is "long non-coding RNA (EGRA_LNC003271)". Lineage: Eukaryota; Viridiplantae; Streptophyta; Magnoliopsida; Myrtales; Myrtaceae. The record is from RNAcentral.